Molecule: ribosomal RNA, 534 nt
Filed under: Cladophialophora bantiana
Lineage: Eukaryota; Fungi; Ascomycota; Eurotiomycetes; Chaetothyriales; Herpotrichiellaceae
Description: eukaryotic LSU rRNA
Rfam family: Eukaryotic large subunit ribosomal RNA
Source: RNAcentral
GCGGCACAGCUCAAUUUGAAUCUGGCCUCUUGGGGUCCGAGUUGUAAUUUGUAGAGGAUGUUUCGGGUACCGCCUCGGUUUAAAUUUCUUGGAACAGAAUGUCAGAGAGGGUGAGAAUCCCGUCUUGAACCGGUGGUAGGGCCUAUGUGAAACUCCUUCGACGAGUCGAGUUGUUUGGGAAUGCAGCUCCAAAUGGGUGGUAAAUUUCAUCUAAAGCUAAAUAUUGGCCAGAGACCGAUAGCGCACAAGUAGAGUGAUCGAAAGAUGAAAAGCACUUUGAAAAGAGAGUUAAACAGUAUGUGAAAUUGUUGAAAGGGAAGCGCUUACAACCAGACUUGAGCGCGGCGGUUCCCCCUUGCUUCUGCUUGGGUUACUCCGCCGUGUCCAGGCCAACAUCGGUUCUGGGGGUCGGUCAAAGGCCCUGGGAAUGUAUCUACCUACGGGUAGACUUAUAGACCAGGGUGUCAUGCGGCCUCCCGGGACCGAGGAACGCGCUCCGGCUCGGAUGUUAGAAGUAAUGGUUGUCAGCGACCC